CGGGGCGGAGUUGUGACGUCAUCGCCGCGGGGCGGGGCCUGCGGGGUCGGGAAGAGCAUCGAGUUGCAGUGACGCCGGCUGCCGGCUCCCAAGAGCAAUCCCGUGUCCCUGGCGCCCUUCGCGUGGUCUGUUAGCGUCGAGUCCCGCGCGGAGAUGGCAGACGACCUUGGAGACGAGUGGUGGGAGAAGCAGCCGGCAGGAGCAGACAGCAGCCCAGGUACCACUCUGCCCGCGCUCCCGCAGGGCCUCCUCUUGCGAGCCCUGCCGAGCACCUCAGCCACGCCGCUUCUGGUCGGCAGAUCCGGCAGGGGAAGCGGUGGGUGCCACAUGCGUGCCCUCAACGCAGAUCUGCCCGUCUGUCAUUCAAGAACCCUUUCCAAGCCCUGUGUUUCUUUAACUUUUUUUUUCCCCCCUUGAGGCUGGACGACAGUUUUCAUGAGGAGAGGCAGUUUUGCCUCGUGGUUAAAGAAAAUCCC
Molecule: long non-coding RNA, 476 nt
Filed under: Marmota monax (woodchuck)
Lineage: Eukaryota; Metazoa; Chordata; Mammalia; Rodentia; Sciuridae
Source: RNAcentral